RNAcentral lists this ribosomal RNA (253 nucleotides) under uncultured prokaryote. Its description in RNAcentral is "partial 16S ribosomal RNA". It matches the Rfam family "Bacterial small subunit ribosomal RNA", at positions 525 to 777 of the family's 1533-position model. The record is from RNAcentral.
ACGAGGGAUCCUAGCGUUGUUCGGAAUCAUUGGGCGUAAAGAGUAUGUAGGCGGCCUUGUAAGUCAGUUGUGAAAGCCCCGGGCUCAACCCGGGAAGUGCAAUUGAUACUGCUUGGCUUGAAUGUGGAAGAGGGUAGUAGAAUUCCAGGUGUAGUGGUGAAAUACGUAGAUAUCUGGAGGAAUACCGGUGGCGAAGGCGGCAUCCUGGACCAACACUGACGCUGAGGCGCGAAAGCUAGGGGAGCAAACGGGA